AACGAACGCUGGCGGCAGGCUUAACACAUGCAAGUCGAACGGUCUCUUCGGAGGCAGUGGCAGACGGGUGAGUAACGCGUGGGAAUCUACCCAUCCCUACGGGAUAGCUCCGGGAAACUGGAAUUAAUACCGUAUACGCCCUUUUGGGGAAAGAUUUAUCGGGGAUGGAUGAGCCCGCGUUGGAUUAGCUAGUUGGUGGGGUAAAGGCUCACCAAGGCGACGAUCCAUAGCUGGUCUUAGAGGAUGAUCAGCCACAUUGGGACUGAGACACGGCCCAAACUCCUACGGGAGGCAGCAGUGGGGAAUAUUGGACAAUGGGCGCAAGCCUGAUCCAGCCAUGCCGCGCGAGUGAUGAAGGUCUUAGGAUUGUAAAGCUCUUUCACCGGGGACGAUAAUGACGGUACCCGGAGAAGAAGCCCCGGCUAACUUCGUGCCAGCCGCCGCGGUAA
RNAcentral lists this ribosomal RNA (449 nucleotides) under uncultured bacterium. RNAcentral's name for it is "partial 16S ribosomal RNA". It matches the Rfam family "Bacterial small subunit ribosomal RNA", at positions 29 to 523 of the family's 1533-position model. The record is from RNAcentral.